This 480-nucleotide ribosomal RNA is filed under the name uncultured bacterium. Its description in RNAcentral is "partial 16S ribosomal RNA". It matches the Rfam family "Bacterial small subunit ribosomal RNA", at positions 28 to 523 of the family's 1533-position model. The record is from RNAcentral.
GACGAACGCUGGCGGCGUGCCUAACACAUGCAAGUCGAGCGAGUGAAUCUCCUUCGGGAGUGAAGCUAGCGGCGGACGGGUGAGUAACACGUGGGCAACCUGCCUCAUAGAGGGGAAUAGCCUUUCGAAAGGAAGAUUAAUACUGCAUAAGAUUGUAGCUUCGCAUGAAGUAGCAAUUAAAGGAGCAAUCCGCUAUGAGAUGGGCCCGCGGGGCAUUAGCUAGUUGGUGAGGUAACGGCUAACCAAGGCGACGAUGCGUAGACGACCUGAGUGGGUGCGCAGCCACAUUGGGACUGAGACACGGCCCAGACUCCUACGGGAGGCAGCAGUGGGGAAUAUUGCACAAUGGGGGAAACCCUGAUGCAGCAACGCCGCGUGAGUGAUGACGGCCUUCGGGUUGUAAAGCUCUGUCUUCAGGGACGAUAAUGACGUUACCUGAGGAGGAAGCCACGGCUAACUACGUGCCAGCCGCCGCCGUAA